RNAcentral lists this ribosomal RNA (1204 nucleotides) under uncultured bacterium. Its description in RNAcentral is "bacterial SSU rRNA". It matches the Rfam family "Bacterial small subunit ribosomal RNA", at positions 173 to 1399 of the family's 1533-position model. The record is from RNAcentral.
AUGACUGGACCGCAUGAUCCGGUCAUCAAAGAUUUUAUCGCUGAAAGAUGGGCUCGCUUCUGAUUAGUUAGUUGGUGGGGUAACGGCCCACCAAGUCGACGAUCAGUAGCCGGAUUGAGAGGUUGAACGGCCACAUUGGGAUUGAGAUACGGCCCAGAUUCUUACGGGAGGCAGCAGUGGGGAAUAUUGGGCAAUGGGGGCAACCUUGACCCAGCAACGCCGCGUGAAGGAAGAAGGCUUUCGGGUUGUAAACUUCUUUUACCGAGGACGAAGAACGUGACGGUAUUCGGAGAAAAAGCCACGGCUAACUACGUGCCAGCAGCCGCGGUAAUACGUAGGUGGCAAGCGUUGUCCGGAAUUACUGGGUGUAAAGGGCGUGUAGGCGGAGCGGCAAGUCAGAAGUGAAAUUUCUGGGCUCAACCCGGAAACUGCUUUUGAAACUGUCGCCCUUGAGUAUCGGAGAGGCAGGCGGAAUUCCUAGUGUAGCGGUGAAAUGCGUAGAUAUUAGGAGGAACUCCAGUGGCGAAGGCGGCCUGCUGGACGACAACUGACGUUGAGGCGCGAAAGCGUGGGGAGCAAACAGGAUUAGAUCCCCUGGUAGUCCACCCCGUAAACAAUGGAUAUUAGGGUGUGGGGGGAUUGACCCCCUCCGUGCCGCAGUAAACACAAUAAGUAUCCCACCUGGGGAGUACGACCGCAAGGUUGAAACUCAAAGGAAUUGACGGGGGCCCGCACAAGCAGUGGAUUAUGUGGUUUAAUUCGACGCAACGCGAAGAACCUUACCGGGAUUUGACAUCCUGCUAACGAAGUAGAGAUACAUCAGGUGCCCUUCGGGGAAAGCAGAGACAGGUGGUGCAUGGUUGUCGUCAGCUCGUGUCGUGAGAUGUUGGGUUAAGUCCCGCAACGAGCGCAACUCUUAUUGUUAGUUGCUACGCAUGAGCACUCUAGCGAGACUGCCGUUGACAAAACGGAGGAAGGCGGGGACGACGUCAAAUCAUCAUGCCCCUUAUGUCCCGGGCUACACACGUAAUACAAUGGCGUUAAACAGAGGGAAGCAAAGCCGCGAGGCAGAGCAAAACCCUAAAAGGCGUCUCAGUUCGGAUCGCAGUCUGCAACUCGACUGCGUGAAGUUGGAAUUGCUAGUAAUCGCGGAUCAGCAUGCCGCGGUGAAUACGUUCCCGGGCCUUGCACACACCGCCCGUCA